RNAcentral lists this ribosomal RNA (531 nucleotides) under Triticum aestivum (bread wheat). RNAcentral describes it as "partial small subunit ribosomal RNA". Lineage: Eukaryota; Viridiplantae; Streptophyta; Magnoliopsida; Poales; Poaceae. The record is from RNAcentral.
AUGAUCCGCAACAUCCCCAACAAGCUCACCCGCCCCUCGAUGAUGAAGCUGCUGGACGACCACUGCGCCCGCGUGAACAGGCGGCGCGGCCCCGCCGCGUACGAUUUCCUCUACCUGCCCAUGGACUUCAGCAGCAGGCAGCGGUGCAGCAACAAGGGGUACGCCUUCGUCAACUUCACGACGGCCGAGGCGGCGCGCGGGCUGCACUACGCCCUGCACGGCCGCGGCUGGCACCGCUCGCUCGGCAGCGCCAAGAUCAUCAACAUCGCCGCCGCCUACAUGCAGGGCCGGCACAGGCUGGUGAGGCACUUCAGCCGCUCCACCUUCGCGUGCCACACCGACGAGUACCUCCCGGCCGUCUUCUCGCCGCCGCGCGACGGCACCGCCGACCCGCCCCCGGCCGAGCCCAGGCACCUCGGCCGACGUGUUCCCCCGCGCGUCCCCGCCGUCCAGCCGGCGCAGCAGCUGGUGUGGGUGCGUCGAGGCGAGGCUAUCGCUAGCCAGCUAGCCACUCCAAGCAUGGUCACCUGA